RNAcentral lists this ribosomal RNA (407 nucleotides) under uncultured bacterium. RNAcentral describes it as "partial 16S ribosomal RNA". It matches the Rfam family "Bacterial small subunit ribosomal RNA", at positions 28 to 526 of the family's 1533-position model. The record is from RNAcentral.
GAUGAACGCUAGCUACAGGCUUAACACAUGCAAGUCGAGGGACCGGCGCACGGGUGAGUAACGCGUAUCCAACCUACCAAUUACUGUGGGAUAACCUGCCGAAAGGCAGACUAAUAACGCAUAGUAAUGGAUGGGGAUGCGUCUGAUUAGCUUGUUGGCGGGGUAACGGCCAACCAAGGCAACGAUCAGUAGGGGUUCUGAGAGGAAGGUCCACCGGAACGUAACUGCGUCCCAGUCCAAAAUCCGACGGGAGGCAGCGGUGAGGAAUAUUGGUGACUGGGCGCGGGCCUGACAACGCCACGUAGCUUGCAGGAUGCCUGCCUAUGGGUUGUAAGCUGCUUUUGUAUGGGGUUAGGUACCAUACGAAUAAGGACCGGCUAAUUCCGUGCCAGCAGCCGCGGUAAUUC